GAUGAACGCUGGCGGCGUGCCUAAUACAUGCAAGUCGAGCGAACGGACGAGAAGCUUGCUUCUCUGAUGUUAGCGGCGGACGGGUGAGUAACACGUGGAUAACUUACCUAUAAGACUGGGAUAACUUCGGGAAACCGGAGCUAAUACCGGAUAAUAUUUUGAACCGCAUGGUUCAAAAGUGAAAGACGGUCUUGCUGUCGCUUAUAGAUGGAUCCGCGCUGCAUUAGCUAGUUGGUAAGGUAACGGCUUACCAAGGCAACGAUGCAUAGCCGACCUGAGAGGGUGAUCGGCCACACUGGAACUGAGACACGGUCCAGACUCCUACGGGAGGCAGCAGUAGGGAAUCUUCCGCAAUGGGCGAAAGCCUGACGGAGCAACGCCGCGUGAGUGAUGAAGGUCUUCGGAUCGUAAAACUCUGUUAUUAGGGAAGAACAUAUGUGUAAGUAGCUGUGCACAUCUUGACGGUACCUAAUCAGAAAGCCACGGCUAACUACGUG
RNAcentral lists this ribosomal RNA (497 nucleotides) under uncultured bacterium. RNAcentral's name for it is "partial 16S ribosomal RNA". It matches the Rfam family "Bacterial small subunit ribosomal RNA", at positions 28 to 507 of the family's 1533-position model. The record is from RNAcentral.